GUCUUCUAUUUUCCCUUUGAUUUCCUGAUUAGCCAUUUGAAUCCUAGCAACACUCAUCUCCAACUCAGUCUUCUCUGCAUGCAGCUGAUCUCUAGCCUUCUUCAACUCAAGGAACUCCUCUAUACUGACAGAAGAACGGGAUUCCUCAAUCAGCGGAUACCAAAGAUCACCCACAGGAAAUGGUAGACGAGUAAGCUCAAC
Molecule: long non-coding RNA, 201 nt
Filed under: Lathyrus oleraceus (garden pea)
Lineage: Eukaryota; Viridiplantae; Streptophyta; Magnoliopsida; Fabales; Fabaceae
Description: Pisum sativum (pea) long non-coding RNA (PSAT_LNC029936)
Source: RNAcentral